Molecule: ribosomal RNA, 253 nt
Filed under: uncultured bacterium
Lineage: Bacteria
Description: partial 16S ribosomal RNA
Rfam family: Bacterial small subunit ribosomal RNA
Source: RNAcentral
UACGUAGGGGGCAAGCGUUGUCCGGAAUCAUUGGGCGUAAAGAGCGUGUAGGCGGCUCGGUAAGUCCGCUCUGAAAGCCCGGGGCUCAACCCCGGGAGGCGGGCGGAUACUGUCGAGCUAGAGUCCGGAAGAGGCGAGUGGAAUUCCUGGUGUAGCGGUGAAAUGCGCAGAUAUCAGGAGGAACACCUGUGGCGAAAGCGGCGCACUGGACCACAACUGACGCUGAGGCGCGAAAGCUAGGGGAGCAAACAGG